Molecule: ribosomal RNA, 492 nt
Filed under: uncultured bacterium
Lineage: Bacteria
Description: partial 16S ribosomal RNA
Rfam family: Bacterial small subunit ribosomal RNA
Source: RNAcentral
AGUGAACGCUGGCGGUAGGCCUAACACAUGCAAGUCGAACGGCAGCACAGUAAGAGCUUGCUCUUACGGGUGGCGAGUGGCGGACGGGUGAGGAAUACAUCGGAAUCUACUUUUUCGUGGGGGAUAACGUAGGGAAACUUACGCUAAUACCGCAUACGACCUACGGGUGAAAGCAGGGGAUCUUCGGACCUUGCGCGAUUGAAUGAGCCGCUGUCGGAUUAGCUAGUUGGCGGGGUAAAGGCCCACCAAGGCGACGAUCCGUAGCUGGUCUGAGAGGAUGAUCAGCCACAUGGGAACUGAGACACGGUCCAGACUCCUACGGGAGGCAGCAGUGGGGAAUAUUGGACAAUGGGCGCAAGCCUGAUCCAGCCAUACCGCGUGGGUGAAGAAGGCCUUCGGGUUGUAAAGCCCUUUUGUUGGGAAAGAAAAGCAGCAGGUUAAUACCCCGCUGUUCUGACGGUACCCAAAGAAUAAGCACCGGCUAACUUCGUG